This 465-nucleotide ribosomal RNA is filed under the name uncultured bacterium. Its description in RNAcentral is "partial 16S ribosomal RNA". It matches the Rfam family "Bacterial small subunit ribosomal RNA", at positions 338 to 795 of the family's 1533-position model. The record is from RNAcentral.
CCUACGGGUGGCUGCAGUGGGGAAUAUUGCGCAAUGGGCGAAAGCCUGACGCAGCGACGCCGCGUGAGGGAUGAAGGUCUUCGGAUCGUAAACCUCUGUCAGCAGGGAAGAACGGUCACUGUGCUAAUCAGCAGUGAAUUGACGGUACCUGCAAAGGAAGCACCGGCUAACUCCGUGCCAGCAGCCGCGGUAAUACGGAGGGUGCGAGCGUUAAUCGGAAUUACUGGGCGUAAAGCGCUCGUAGGCGGUAUGUCAAGUCAAGGGUGAAAUCCCCGCGCUCAACGUGGGAACUGCCUUUGAAACUGGCAAACUGGAGUGUGGGAGAGGGUAGUGGAAUUCCAGGUGUAGGAGUGAAAUGCGUAGAUAUCUGGAGGAACAUCAGUGGCGAAGGCGACUAUCUGGCACAUAACUGACGCUGAGGAGCGAAAGCGUGGGUAGCAAACAGGAUUAGAUACCCGGGUAGUC